GGAGAGAUGGCUCAGUGGUUAAGAGCACUGACUGCUCUUCCAGAGGUCCCGAGUUCAAUUCCCGGCAACUACA
RNAcentral lists this transfer RNA (73 nucleotides) under Mus musculus (house mouse). RNAcentral's name for it is "tRNA-Ser". Lineage: Eukaryota; Metazoa; Chordata; Mammalia; Rodentia; Muridae. The record is from RNAcentral.